UCCUCAUUCUCAUCUAACAAUCUUCCCUUUCUUCUCCGAAGAGUCGCUGGCACCACCACCACCAUCGUCCCUCGUGCCCAGCUCGUGCCCGCCACCACCGCCGUCACUCCUCACUUUCUUCAAACACUGAUGUUGCUUUGGGGUUUUUUGCUUUGGGGUUGUCGACGAAAAGAAUGCUGUGAGCAUCAAACAUGUUUGUUAAUUUUCAGAUUCUUUUCAUGGGUUGUCUUGGUCCAUGGACGAGAGAUCGUUGAAAGAUGCGUUUUCUUCCUUUGGGGAGGUUACUGAAGGUAAUCGUGCAUGUUGAGCUUAACCCUUUGAUUUACCAGUUGUAGUCUACGUGUUCGACGAAAUGUCUAGUUGAUUUCAGACCUCA
Molecule: long non-coding RNA, 376 nt
Organism: Cucumis melo (muskmelon)
Lineage: Eukaryota; Viridiplantae; Streptophyta; Magnoliopsida; Cucurbitales; Cucurbitaceae
Exons: 3
Source: RefSeq, a predicted model, not a curated record